Molecule: ribosomal RNA, 115 nt
Filed under: Danio rerio (zebrafish)
Lineage: Eukaryota; Metazoa; Chordata; Actinopteri; Cypriniformes; Danionidae
Source: RNAcentral
GUCAGCAGUUAGCUCUCUGCAACUCUCACAUGGCAGCUCACUGAAGUUAAGCAGGGCUGCACUCUGUCAGUACCUGAAAGGUAGACCACAUGGGAAAGCUUGGUUGCUGCUGGAA